RNAcentral lists this ribosomal RNA (450 nucleotides) under uncultured bacterium. RNAcentral's name for it is "partial 16S ribosomal RNA". It matches the Rfam family "Bacterial small subunit ribosomal RNA", at positions 354 to 796 of the family's 1533-position model. The record is from RNAcentral.
GUGGGGAAUAUUGGACAAUGGGCGAAAGCCUGAUCCAGCCAUGCCGCGUGUGUGAAGAAGGUCUUCGGAUUGUAAAGCACUUUAAGUUGGGAGGAAGGGCAGUAAGUUAAUACCUUGCUGUUUUGACGUUACCGACAGAAUAAGCACCGGCUAACUUCGUGCCAGCAGCCGCGGUAAUACGAAGGGUGCAAGCGUUAAUCGGAAUUACUGGGCGUAAAGCGCGCGUAGGUGGUUUUGUAAGUUGGAGGUGAAAUCCCCGGGCUCAACCUGGGAACUGCCUCCAAAACUGCAUGACUAGAGUACGGUAGAGGGUAGUGGAAUUUCCUGUGUAGCGGUGAAGUGCGUAGAUAUAGGAAGGAACACCAGUGGCGAAGGCGACUACCUGGACUGAUACUGACACUGAGGUGCGAAAGCGUGGGGAGCAAACAGGAUUAGAAACCCUAGUAGUCC